Molecule: non-coding RNA, 1289 nt
Organism: Lepisosteus oculatus (spotted gar)
Lineage: Eukaryota; Metazoa; Chordata; Actinopteri; Semionotiformes; Lepisosteidae
Source: RefSeq, a predicted model, not a curated record
UCUCAUUUCAGCAGCUGCUUUUUAUCCUUGGCUGGUGGUGGAGAACUGGGGCCUUACUGGAAAGGCACAGGACACAGGGCUGGACUGCACCCCAGAUGGGACGUCAGUGUGUCACAGGACACAGGGCUGGACUGCACCCCAGAUGGGACGUCAGUGUGUCACAGGACAUGCACACAUGCAGGGGACAAUCUAGAGGUCUGCACAACUGGACAGGGUUUCUGCCCAUAGCGCCUGGGAUCACAGAGAAUCCUGAGCCAAGCAAAUCAGAACCAGACAACUCCCUAGUGCUUUACCUGACAUUUGAUGUCACCACAAAUUGUACCACUGAGCCAAACACCCACAACAUUGUUAAAGCCAUUGUGCAAGAGAUAAAGAACAUCUUGAAGGCAGUCCUGAAGACAGAAGACUUUCAGCUGGAAUACUUUGAAAGCGGAAAAGAGAAUCCAGACACUAAAGCCGUAAAAUGGUCAACCCUUUAAAAUAAAACGUUGUUUGUUCUUAUAGGCAUUUUGCUUAACAUUAGCUUAUUACAAGAAAAUAAUAGAUUCCAACGCUCAGUGACAAAUAAUAACUUCUCUGCUACCUGUAACAAUACUGUGAGCAGCUUUGACAGCUUUGGGAUAUUUCAAAUGUCUCACCAGUCUCUUCUUUAAAAUGAAAGGCAAAGACAGGGUCUCUGCCUGAUUGAGCCUAUAACAAAACAGAAUCCUGUAGGACCAAAAACAAUAUUUUUAUAAAGCAUAUGUUCCAAUUGCAAGCCAUUUGCUUCAGAAUUUCAAGUUUAAAAUGCGGUAAAUUAAUUCCCUGUCCAAACUGACUUAAAACAUACACACAUAUUAAGACAUACACACUAUGGGUGAGUACUUGUUCACAUGAAAAACAACUUGCCUGACCUGUCGCAAACAUAGCUUUAGAAGUCCAGGUCCUUAAUAACUGCACUGCAGUACCCCUGUAGCUAAAGCAGCAGCUCUGCAAUUUGAAAGGUUGCCUGAAAACAAAACGGCAAUGCUUUUAAACAGGGACUCUAUAUGAACUUGCAGGUCUUCCUCCUGAAUACUGUAGCGCCCUCGCCCGGUGGUGAACAGGAAGUGCACCUAGGCGCUGAGGGUAAGUGUUCUCUGAAGCUUAGUGCCCUAUAAAUCAGUGUGCAGUGUCUGUUAAAGAGUGACCACCCUAAACCUGUGUACGUGUUCUGUUGGUUCACAAUGUGUGUGUAAAUCCUGUGGCUGGUGCUCUUGUAAAGGAGAAUAAAAGCUGGUGCUUGUGUGCCUUCUUCAUCUCUGCUUGUC